ACGACCUUACUUGAACAGGAUCUGUUCUAUAGGGAAGUACCUCUGUAUCCUUGAGUAAAAAGGAGACGGUAACCAAAGCCUGGUGGAUGAACCAGGACCGUGUGAUCAGAGCGUGAUUAUUGGCUGGAUAUCCUCCUAUAGAUGUGGGUUCUUCUAGCUAUAGAGGAUCGUUCUCAGUUGCCUUGGUAGCUGAGAUGGUCAUGCGGUUGUCUGACAGGCU
Molecule: small nucleolar RNA, 220 nt
Filed under: Thalictrum thalictroides
Lineage: Eukaryota; Viridiplantae; Streptophyta; Magnoliopsida; Ranunculales; Ranunculaceae
Description: Plant small nucleolar RNA U3
Rfam family: Plant small nucleolar RNA U3
About the family: Small nucleolar RNAs (snoRNAs) are involved in the processing and modification of rRNA in the nucleolus. There are two main classes of snoRNAs: the box C/D class, and the box H/ACA class. U3 snoRNA is a member of the box C/D class.
Source: Rfam by way of RNAcentral